GUAGUUGAGCAUAUUAAUAAGCGGAGGAAAAUAAACUUACAAGGAUUCCCUUAGUAACGGCAAGCGAAUAGGGAAUAGCCCAGCCUUAGAAUCGGGCAGCUCCGUCGUCCGAAUUGUAGUCUGGAGAAGCGUCCUCAGCGACGGACCAGGCCUAAGUCCCCUGGAAGGGGGCGCCGGAGAGGGUGAGAGCCCCAUCGUGCCCGGAUCCUGUCACACCACGAGGCGAUGUUUAAGAGUCGGGUUGUUUGAUAAUGCAGCCCAAACCGGGCGGUGAAUUCCAUCCAAGUCUAAAUACGGGCGAGAGACCGAUAGCGAACAAGUACCGCGAGGGAAAGAUGAAAAGGACUUUAUAAAGAGAGUCAAAGAGUGCUUAAAAUUGUUGGGAGGGAAGCGAAUGGGGGCCGACGAUGCGCCUCGGUCGGAUGUGGAACAGCGACGAGCCGGUAUGUCGAUCGACCUAGGGCAUGGAUCAGCGUGGAUUGGGGGGUGUCCAAAGCCCGGGCUCUCGAUACACUCGUGGAUUGCCAUCUCCUCGAUUGUGGCAGGCAGUGCGCACCUCUGGCGUGCUUCGACAUCUGCGCACUCCGGACGCUGGCCUGUGGGCUCCCUAUUCAACCCGUCUUGAAACACGGACCAAGGAGUCUGCCAUUGUGCGAGUCAACGGGCGAGUAAACCCAUAAAGCACAAGGAAGCUGAUUGGUGGGAUCCCCUCGAGGGGUGCACCGCUGACCGACCUUGAUCUACUGAGAAGGGUUCGAGUGUGAGCAUACCUGUCGGGACCCGAAAGAUGGUGAACUAUGCCUGAGAGGGGCGAAGCCAGAGAAAAUUCUGGUGGAGGCCCGCAGCGAUACUGAUGUGUAAAUAGUUCGUCUGACUUGGGUACAGGGGCGAAAGACUAAUCGAAACGUCUAGUAGCUGGUUCCCUCCGAAGUUUCCCUCAGGAUAGUUGGAGCUCGCGUGCGAGUUUUAUGGGGUAAAGCCAAUAAUUAGAGGUCUCGGGGACGCAACGCCCUCAAACUAUUCUCAAACUUUGAAUAGGUAGGACGACGCGACUGCUUUGUUGAUCUGUGCCACGAAAUCAGGAGCUCUGAGUGGGCCAUUUUUGGUAAGCAGAACUGGCGAUGGGGGAUGAAUCGAAAGUCGGGUUACGGUGCCAAAAUGCGCGCUAACCUAGAUCCCAUAAAGGGUGUUGGUAGAUUAAGACAGCAGGACGGUGGUCAUGGAAGUCAAAAUCUACUAAGGAGUGUGUAAAAACUCACCUGCCGAAUCAACUAUCCUCGAAAAUGGAUGGAGCAAAAGCGCACGACCUACACCCGGCCGUCGGGGUAAGUCCCAGGCCCCGAUGAGUAGGAGGGCAUGGCGGUCGCUGCAAAACCUUGGGCAUGAGCCCGGGCGGAGCGGCCGUCGGUGUAGAUCUUAGUGGUAGUAGCAAAUAUUCAAAUGACAACUUUGAAGGCCGAAGAAGGGAAAGGUUCCAUGUGAACGACACUUGCACAUGGGUUAGUCGAUCCUAAUGGUCACGGAAACCCCGACAGAUAGCGCGUUUCGCGCGUGCUCCGAAAGGGAAUCGGGUUAAAAUUCCUGAACCGGGACGUGGCGGUCGACGGCAACGUUAGGAAGUCCGGAGACGUCGGCGGGAGCCUCGGGAAGAGUUAUCUUUUCUGUUUAACAGCCUGCCCACCCUGGAAUCGGCUCAGCCGGAGGUAGGGUCCAGCGGCUGGAAGAGCACCGCACGUCGCGUGGUGUCCGGUGCGCUCCCGGCGGCCCUUGAAAAUCCGGAGGACCGAAUGCCGUCCACGCCCGGUCGUACUCAUAACCGCAUCAGGUCUCCAAGGUGAACAACCUCUGGUCGAUGGAACAAUGUAGGCAAGGGAAGUUGGCAAAAUCGAUCCGUAAGUUUGGGAAAAGGAUUGGUUCUGAGGGCUGGGCACGGGGGUCCCAGUCCCAAACUCGUUGGCUGUCGGUAGACUGCUCGAGCUGCUCCCACGGUGAGAGUGGGUCAUCGCGUGCCGGCCGAGGGACGGACUGGGAACGGUUCCUUCGGGGGCCUUCCCCGCGCGUCGAACAGCCAACUCAGAACUGGUACGGACAAGGGGAAUCCGACUGUUUAAUUAAAACAAAGCAUUGCGAUGGUCCCAACGGAUGCUCACGCAAUGUGAUUUAUGCCCAGUGCUCUGAAUGUCAAAGUGAAGAAAUUCGACCAAGCGCGGGUAAACGGCGGGAGUAACUAUGACUCUCUUAAGGUAGACAAAUGCCUCGUCAUCGAAUUUGUGACGCGCCUGAAUGGAUUAACGAGAUUCCUACUAUCCCUGUCUACUACCCAGCGAAACCACAACCAAGGGAAUGGGCUUGUCAGAAACAGCGGGNCCAAGGGAACGGGCUUGGCAGAAUCAGCGGGGAAACAAGACCCUGUUGAGCUUGACUCUAGUCCGACUUUGUGAAAUGACUUGAGAGGUGUAGUAUAACUGGGAGCCGAAAGUCGAAAGUGAAAUACCACUACUUUUAAAGUUAUUUUACUUAUUCCGUGAAUCGGAAGUGGGGCGGCACAUCUGUUAAAAGAUAACGUAGGUGUCCUAAGAUGAGCUCAACACGAACAGAAAUCUCGUGUGGAAGAGAAGGGUAAAAACGCUUUUGAUUCUGAUUUCCAGUACGAAUACAAACCGUGAAAGCGUGGCCUAACGAUCCUUUAGACCUUCGGAAUUCGAAGCUAGAGGUGUCAGAAAAGUUACCACAGGGAUAACUGGCUUGUGGAAGCCAAGCGUUCAUAGCGACGUUGCUUUUUGAUCCUUCGAUGUCGCCUCUUCCUAUCAUUGUGAAGCAGAAUUCACCAUGUGUUGGAUUUUUCACCCACCAAUAGGGAACGUGAGCUGGGUUUAGACUGUCGUGAGACAGGUUAGUUUUAACCUACUGAUGAUAGUGUCGAAAUAGUAAUUCAACCCAGUAUGAGAGGAACCGUUGAUUCACACAAUUGGUCAUCGCGUUUGGUUGAAAAGCCAGUGGCGCGAAGCUACCAUGUGCUGGAUUAUGACUCAAAGCCUCUAAGUCAGAAUCUGGGCUAGAAGUGAUACAUGUGCCCGCCUUCUGCUUGCCGACCCGCAGUAGGGGCCUCGGCCCCCAAGGGAACGUGUCGUUGGCUAAGCCGCAGCAGCGGAAGGGUCGCGGCGGCCGCCAUGAAGUACAACUUCCAUCG
Molecule: ribosomal RNA, 3190 nt
Filed under: Capsicum baccatum
Lineage: Eukaryota; Viridiplantae; Streptophyta; Magnoliopsida; Solanales; Solanaceae
Description: eukaryotic LSU rRNA
Rfam family: Eukaryotic large subunit ribosomal RNA
Source: RNAcentral